Molecule: transfer RNA, 87 nt
Filed under: Roseibium album
Lineage: Bacteria; Pseudomonadati; Pseudomonadota; Alphaproteobacteria; Hyphomicrobiales; Stappiaceae
Description: Labrenzia alba tRNA-Ala
Source: RNAcentral
GGAGUUUGGCGUAUGGGCAUUAGUAUUUGGCAGAUAUUGAUCAUCGCAGUUGUGGUGGUUCUGCUGUUCGGACGUGGCAAGAUUUCC